Molecule: long non-coding RNA, 550 nt
Organism: Oncorhynchus tshawytscha (Chinook salmon)
Lineage: Eukaryota; Metazoa; Chordata; Actinopteri; Salmoniformes; Salmonidae
Source: Ensembl
CCAGUCCAGUCACUCAGCCCUAUCCAGACCAUUCACCCAGUCCAGUCACUCAGCCCUAUCCAGACCAUUCACUCAGCCCUAUCCAGACCAUUCACCCAGUCCAGUCACUCAGCCCUAUCCAGACCAUUCACCCAGUCCAGUCACUCAGCCCUAUCCAGACCAUUCACCCAGUCCAAUCACUCAGCCCUAUCCAGACCAUUCACCCAGCCCAGUCACUCAGCCCUAUCCAGACCAUUCACCCAGUCCAACCAUUCAGCCCUAUCCAGACCAUUCACCCAGUCCAGUCACUCAGCCCUAUCCAGACCAUUCACCCAGUCCAGUCACUCAGCCCUAUCCAGACCAUUCACCCAGUCCAGUCACUCAGCCCUAUCCAGACCAGUCACUCAGCCCUAUUCAGACCAUUCACUCAGUCCUAUCCAGGAAAUUCACACAGUCCAGUCACUCAGCCCUAUCCAGACCAUUCACACAGUCCAGUCACUCAGCCCUAUCCAGACCAUUCACCCAGUCCAGUCACUCAGCCCUAUCCAGACCAUUCACCCAGUCCAGUCAC